RNAcentral lists this ribosomal RNA (740 nucleotides) under Abedus breviceps. RNAcentral's name for it is "SSU rRNA". It matches the Rfam family "Eukaryotic small subunit ribosomal RNA", at positions 422 to 1078 of the family's 1831-position model. The record is from RNAcentral. Lineage: Eukaryota; Metazoa; Arthropoda; Insecta; Hemiptera; Belostomatidae.
AAGGCAGCAGGCACGCAAAUUACCCACUCCCGGCACGGGGAGGUAGUGACAAAAAAUAACGAUACGGGACUCAUCCGAGGCCCCGUAAUCGGAAUGAGAACACUCUAAAUCAUUUAACAAGGACCUAUUGGAGGGCAAGUCUGGUGCCAGCAGCCGCGGUAAUUCCAGCUCCAAUAGCGUAUAUUAAAGUUGUUGCGGUUAAAAAGCUCGUAGUUGGUUCUGCGUCCCACGCUGUCGGUUCACCGCCUGUCGGUGCAACUGGCACGCCGUGGGAUGUCCUGUCGGUGGCGGCCGCGGCCCGGCGGUCGAGGGGUAAGAUCCGAAUGGGUCCGAACCCUCACCCCGGGAUCCGGUCGCCUAACUAAUCCCGCCGCGGUGCUCUUAACUGAGUGUCGAGGUGGGCCGACACGUUUACUUUGAACAAAUUAGAGUGCUCAAAGCAGGCUGAAUUCCGCCUGAAUAGUGGUGCAUGGAAUAAUUGAAUAGGACCUCGGUUCUAUUUUGUUGGUUUUCGGAAUCCGAGGUAAUGAUCAAUAUGGACAGGCGGGGGCAUUCGUAUUGCGGCGUUAGAGGUGAAAUUCUUGGAUCGUCGCAAGACGGACUAGAGCGAAAGCAUUUGCCAAGUAUGUCUUAGUUGAUCAAGAACGAAAGUUAGAGGUUCGAAGGCGAUCAGAUACCGCCCUAGUUCUAACCAUAAACGAUGCCAGCCAGCGAUCCGCCGAUGUUCCUCCGAUGACUCG